This 488-nucleotide ribosomal RNA is filed under the name uncultured bacterium. RNAcentral's name for it is "bacterial SSU rRNA". It matches the Rfam family "Bacterial small subunit ribosomal RNA", at positions 28 to 517 of the family's 1533-position model. The record is from RNAcentral.
GAUGAACGCUAGCGGGAGGCUUAACACAUGCAAGUCGAGGGGUAAAUGGCAGCAAUGCUAUGAGACCGGCGAACGGGUGCGUAACGCGUAUGCAACUUACCUUAUGCAGGGGGAUAGCCCGUGGAAACGCGGAUUAAUAUCCCAUAGAUCAGUGGUAUCGCAUGGUACAGCUGGUAAAGCUCAGGUGGCAUAAGAUGGGCAUGCGUCUGAUUAGCUGGUUGGUAGGGUAACGGCCUACCAAGGCGACGAUCAGUAGGGGUUCUGAGAGGAUUAACCCCCACACUGGUACUGAGACACGGACCAGACUCCUACGGGAGGCAGCAGUGAGGAAUAUUGGUCAAUGGGCGAAGCCUGAACCAGCCAUCCCGCGUGAAGGAAGAAGGCCUUAUGGGUUGUAAACUUCUUUUCUGUUUGAAGAAUAAGCUUGUCGUGACAAGUGAUGCCGGUAGGACAGGAAUAAGCAUCGGCUAACUCCGUGCCAGCAGCCG